This 656-nucleotide long non-coding RNA is filed under the name Canis lupus familiaris (dog). RNAcentral describes it as "lncRNA (ENSCAFG00000059203.1)". The record is from RNAcentral. Lineage: Eukaryota; Metazoa; Chordata; Mammalia; Carnivora; Canidae.
GCCAUAUUAAAAUUGGAUACUACAGACAUGGCUAGAUUUCUCAAAACACAGUAAUUCUGAAUAAAAGAGACAGACACUCAUAAUCUAGCCUUGCUGGGUUAGCAAUUUGCAUAAUUUAUUUUUCUGAAUUGGAAAGGUGAGUGUUACUUCUUGAAAUAUUCCUUUGUAUGCAUUUGGAAUGUCUAGUGCUUACACUGCUUACUCUUUGGGGAUCGUCAUGAGCUAGAAUCAAGCUCUAAACCCCUUUUCUGCAUAGUGGCAUAUAGGGAACUACAUAGAUAAAUUCUUGUUCUAGAAUAUAUAUGACAAACAUGAGGCGACGUUAGCUUCUUUAAAGGAGCCUUAGAUCUAGGAUGAUUUUUAGUUCCUAAGAUGCCUCCAGGGCUUCUCCCAGCUUAGAGUGUGGGGAACUUGCACGUUUUCCUGUAGCAUGUUUAAAGUGCCUGCUACUUUCGACCAACAAUAAGAGCUCCUUUUAUGUCAGGCCUAGCUGGGUUUUCUGUGCUGGCAAGCGAGGUCUAACAUGGAAUAUCCAGAAAUCACACUGCAGUUCCACCAUUCUUGAUGUCCUCCCAGCCUGUCAACCAUUGCUGCAGUUACGGACACCUGGAAAAAUUGAGGCUUGUGCUCACCAUCCGAGCAUCUCUGGAAAAUGA